Molecule: ribosomal RNA, 585 nt
Filed under: uncultured bacterium
Lineage: Bacteria
Description: bacterial SSU rRNA
Rfam family: Bacterial small subunit ribosomal RNA
Source: RNAcentral
ACGGGUGAGUAAUACAUCGGAACGUGCCCGAUCGUGGGGGAUAACGGAGCGAAAGCUUUGCUAAUACCGCAUACGAUCUACGGAUGAAAGCAGGGGACCGCAAGGCCUUGCGCGGACGGAGCGGCCGAUGGCAGAUUAGGUAGUUGGUGGGAUAAAAGCUUACCAAGCCGACGAUCUGUAGCUGGUCUGAGAGGACGACCAGCCACACUGGGACUGAGACACGGCCCAGACUCCUACGGGAGGCAGCAGUGGGGAAUUUUGGACAAUGGGCGAAAGCCUGAUCCAGCCAUGCCGCGUGCAGGAUGAAGGCCUUCGGGUUGUAAACUGCUUUUGUACGGAACGAAAAGCCUCUUUCUAAUAAAGAGAGGUCAUGACGGUACCGUAAGAAUAAGCACCGGCUAACUACGUGCCAGCAGCCGCGGUAAUACGUAGGGUGCGAGCGUUAAUCGGAAUUACUGGGCGUAAAGCGUGCGCAGGCGGUGAUGUAAGACAGAUGUGAAAUCCCCGGGCUCAACCUGGGAACUGCAUUUGUGACUGCAUCGCUGGAGUGCGGCAGAGGGGGAUGGAAUUCCGCGUGUAGCAGUG